AGCACCUUUAUGAGUUUUUGUUUAAUAUGUAGACAAAGACUUUGAGACGUGUUAAAACUAAGUCUCUUUUGCAACCCAAAACUCACUACUCAUUGUUCUAUAUGAGUUCUGAUACAGAUAAGAAAGAGCAUU
Small nucleolar RNA from Sorex fumeus (smoky shrew), 132 nucleotides. RefSeq annotates it as small nucleolar RNA SNORA40. The record is from RefSeq and is a predicted model, not a curated record. NCBI's taxonomy places the organism in Eukaryota, Metazoa, Chordata, Mammalia, Eulipotyphla, Soricidae. The transcript has a single exon.